GGCUGUGGCUCAGUGGUAGAGUACUUGUCUCGAACAUGCAAGACCCUGGGUUUGAACCCCAGCACCA
This 67-nucleotide transfer RNA is filed under the name Marmota monax (woodchuck). RNAcentral's name for it is "tRNA.Ser". It matches the Rfam family "tRNA", at positions 6 to 65 of the family's 71-position model. Rfam says of the family: Transfer RNA (tRNA) molecules are approximately 80 nucleotides in length. Lineage: Eukaryota; Metazoa; Chordata; Mammalia; Rodentia; Sciuridae. The record is from RNAcentral.